UCGAACGGUAACAGGGAGCUUGCUCCGCUGACGAGUGGCGAACGGGUGAGUAAUAUAUCGGAACGUACCCAAGAGUGGGGGAUAACGUAGCGAAAGUUACGCUAAUACCGCAUACGAUCUAAGGAUGAAAGCAGGGGACCGCAAGGCCUUGUGCUCCUGGAGCGGCCGAUAUCUGAUUAGCUAGUUGGUAGGGUAAAGGCCUACCAAGGCAUCGAUCAGUAGCUGGUCUGAGAGGACGACCAGCCACACUGGAACUGAGACACGGUCCAGACUCCUACGGGAGGCAGCAGUGGGGAAUUUUGGACAAUGGGCGCAAGCCUGAUCCAGCAAUGCCGCGUGAGUGAAGAAGGCCUUCGGGUUGUAAAGCUCUUUUGUCAGGGAAGAAACGGGUGCGGCUAAUAUCUGCAUCUAAUGACGGUACCUGAAGAAUAAGCACCGGCUAACUACGUGCCAGCAGCCGCGGUAAUACGUAGGGUGCAAGCGUUAAUCGGAAUUACUGGGCGUAAAGCGUGCGCAGGCGGUUUUGUAAGUCUGUUGUGAAAUCCCCGGGCUUAACCUGGGAAUGGCAAUGGAGACUGCAAGGCUAGAGUUUGGCAGAGGGGGGUAGAAUUCCACGUGUAGCAGUGAAAUGCGUAGAGAUGUGGAGGAACACCGAUGGCGAAGGCAGCCCCCUGGGUCAAGACUGACGCUCAUGCACGAAAGCGUGGGGAGCAAACAGGAUUAGAUACCCUGGUAGUCCACGCCCUAAACGAUGUCUACUAGUUGUCGGGUCUUAAUUGACUUGGUAACGCAGCUACGCGUGAAGUAGACCGCCUGGGGAGUACGGUCGCAAGAUU
Molecule: ribosomal RNA, 836 nt
Filed under: Pseudoduganella plicata
Lineage: Bacteria; Pseudomonadati; Pseudomonadota; Betaproteobacteria; Burkholderiales; Oxalobacteraceae
Description: bacterial SSU rRNA
Rfam family: Bacterial small subunit ribosomal RNA
Source: RNAcentral